RNAcentral lists this transfer RNA (57 nucleotides) under Bos taurus (domestic cattle). It matches the Rfam family "tRNA", at positions 9 to 63 of the family's 71-position model. Rfam says of the family: Transfer RNA (tRNA) molecules are approximately 80 nucleotides in length. Lineage: Eukaryota; Metazoa; Chordata; Mammalia; Artiodactyla; Bovidae. The record is from Rfam by way of RNAcentral. RNAcentral also lists the same sequence under 5 other names.
AGCUGAGAUGGUAAAAGCAUCUGCCUGCACUGCAGAAGACCCAGGUUCAAUCCCUGG